GUCUCUUCAGAUACAUCCGCUAAACUUGGAAAAACAGAGAAGAUUAGCAUCGCCACUGCAAAAGGAUGACAUGCACAUUUGAGAAAAUACAGUCUAUUUA
Molecule: small nuclear RNA, 100 nt
Filed under: Nelumbo nucifera (sacred lotus)
Lineage: Eukaryota; Viridiplantae; Streptophyta; Magnoliopsida; Proteales; Nelumbonaceae
Source: RNAcentral